Molecule: long non-coding RNA, 5312 nt
Organism: Mus musculus (house mouse)
Lineage: Eukaryota; Metazoa; Chordata; Mammalia; Rodentia; Muridae
Product: predicted gene, 26512
Exons: 4
Source: RefSeq, a predicted model, not a curated record
AAAUGGAAAGACCAGGUUCAGGCUCUGCAGCCCAGCAGUUGGAGUGUACCCAUCAAUUCAUUCAAUUCCGAGAUGCAUUUUUUUCCAGGAUUUAAGAUGGUUUAAAAAAAAAAAAAAGGCACCACCACCAGCAACAACAACAACAAAAACCCUGGCGUGCCAGUCCCUAAUCCAGUUUACCCCUGUCAGAGUCCGUUAAAGACAGGAAGUUCUACUUUCAUUUCCAGGCACCUAUGAGACUGCAGAGAUGAUGCCUCUUGUGAGGAUGACAGCUGUCCAGAUACUGGAUUUCUGCCACCAUCUCAUUUCAAAGAGGCCACCAAACAGCUGUUAGGAGGCAAGAGUGUCCAUUUGCUACUGACCAGAGAAUUAUUCACCUCUGAAAAUAUCCAAAUUGUGGGAAUGUUAUGAACCAGGACUUCACAAAGAACAGAGCAGAAUACUGUCUCAUCAUGACGUGUGCACACUCCUCCAGGAUACAGAGGUCUCAGGAUGGACGAUUUGAACUCACCCUCUUCGGAGCCUGGCAUAACUGUCUUCUGAGAAGCUUCAUCUAGCAGCUGAUGGAAACACAUGCAGAGAUCCACAGCUAAACAAUAAGGGAGUUCGAGAAGUCUUGCAGAAGAGUUGGGAUGGAGGGAGAAUUAAGAGAGCUGGAGGACUGAAAGGACACCAUGUGACCCACAGAGUCAACUAAACUGGGGUCCCUGGGGCUAAUAGAGACUGAACCACCAGCCAAACAGUAUGCACAGGUUUGACCCCAGCUCCCUGCACAGAAGUAAGAGAUGUACAGCUUGUUCUUCAUGUGGGUGCCCUAACAAAUAGAAGUGGAGCUAUCUCUAACUCUGUUCCCUGCCUUUGAUUCCUUUCCCAUAGCUGGGCUGCCUUGUCUGGCCUCUGUGGGGGAGGAUGCUCUUAGUUAGCCCUGCUACAACUUGAUGUACCAGGAUGGGUUGGUAGUCAUAGCGGACCUCCCCUUCUUUGAGGUAAAGAGGAUGGGGAGUGGGUGAGGGGUGGGGUUAGAACUUGAAGAGAGGAGAGAAAGAGCUACAAUCAGGCUAUAAAGUGAAUAAUUGUUUCCAUUAGUGUACCCUUUAAUGACAUGAAGUACACAUACUGGCACAGAGUGAGAUUGCUUUUUAGAUCAUGAAAUGAUCUCAGUUUGCUCAUUCACACUCGUUGAAAGGAAUGUACCAUGAGGUAUGAGAGGAGAUUGCUUCCUAGAUCAUAAGAAUUUUCAGAUACAAGAAAUACAAUUAGUAAGAGCCCACACAGGUUCUCAAUACAAUGUCAACAUGCUUCAUAAUGUGUAGUUUUCAUUAGGAAAUCUCACUGGUUUGAGAAAUUAUGUAAAUUUAAAAAAUAAAAAUAGAAAUCAUAAGAAUAUAAAAGGUUUUAGUGAAAUUCAUGACAAUGGGUCUUGAUGCCUACUUUUCUAAAGUCAUUCUCCUCUCUAGGUUAUUAAAUGUCCCACAAGUAGCUGUCUUUCCCACUGGAAAUCUAGCAUCUUCUCAAUCACUUACAUUGAAGACCCCCAUCCCCCAAAUAGAUGUCUUAGAGAACUUUCUGGGAGAAAAUACAAUGCCCUGUCUCCAUUAUCAUUGAUGACUAGGUGACAUGUAGAAGGUGAAAAGGUGGUGUGUGUGUGUGUGUGUGUGUGUGUGUGUGUGUGUGUGUGUGUGCAUGUAUCUUCUUCUCUGCAUUUUCUCCAACUGAAGGUAUAAAGAUUUACCUGAUAUUAUUCUUGCAUCAUACACUUGCAUAUGCAUGUACAUUAAAUUAUGUAGUCAUGCGCUACUAUAUUAAAAAGCAUACUCCAAUAAUAUAUCUCAGUAUAUGAAAAUUGCUUUCUUUUCCUACAGUAUAUAAAAGUGCCAGGGCAAUCUGCUCUCUGUGCUCAGACACCAGAAAGCUAAACUUUGAGUGAUAUCCAACUUUAUGAGACACAUAAAGAUGAAAUAAAAAUGGGAAAGAAGAUAAACAUUUAAGGAGAUAAACACUGUCAAACAGAAAUGAUUACAAAGUUUGUAACAAUUUGUAUUUUUCAUUGUUUUCUGUGUACCUGGCUUUUCCACACUAUGAAUUUCUUUUGUUCAUUUCACCUUCUCUUAAUAUAUAAUGUUUGUUCCCAUAACCACGGACAUUAAAGUGAAGAAUGGGAGCCAAGACUCAGUUGAUAUUUAUUGAGAGAAAUAUAAGCAACUGGAAAAUGGAAAACUCUCCUUAUAUUAUUGAAUGCUUUGUCUAGCUACUUUCCUUUGAUAGCUCUGGAAAAUUGAACUCCUUUUCUAUACUGUCUGUGCCAUAUAGAAUCACCACAUUCAACCUAUUUUUAAUUUAUAAACUAGCAAUUCCCUAUUAUUUAAACAUAAUACAAUGUCAAAAAGCAGAAGGCAUGCUCACUGCUGUUGCAUCAGAGUUGUGUGUGUGUGUGUGUGUGUGUGUGUGUGUGUGUGUGUGUGUGUGUGUGUGUGUGUUUCUUGGUGAAAUGCAGAGAGGUAACAAGUUAUUGUUUCCAUUGGUGUACCCUUCCUAAAUGUUAAAUUUUUGUUUCAUUAAAUUUCAUCAUUUUAUGAUGAAAACAACAUUGUAACUUUUAGUGUUACCCAUCAAUAACUGUCAUUAGACUAAUACAACUCCCAAGAGAAAUCGCAUAUUAUUACAAAUUAUAUUCAUUAGUGUAUAAAAUAGAAACCAUAGAACCAUCUUCAAAACAACCUAACAUGUACAUUAGAUAUAUAAAAUAAUAGUCCUUAAAAACCCAGUAGGAUUCUAAGGUAGAAAAGUUUCUGUUUUUGUUUUUAGUUAAAAAUCAAUUGUGCUUACUGUGUAUUAGUAAGGAGGGGAGAGAACAGUGGACACACUUAGAGGUAAAUGAAAAAGAAGGCUGAAUGGGAGACCAACUAACAUAAACUUGCAUGAGACUGGGCUCUCAAGUAACUAAAAACCACCUGUGCUACAACCUAACCCUCUGAGGCUUUUCUUCUAUGUCUGAGAAGUUGAUAAAGUAGAUGAAAGAUCUUUAGAGUGCAGUGCAAUUCCUUCUCUGAGUAAGCAGUAUCUCUCUGCUCCUCUUAAGCCCACUUACUGUUAACAAGACCAUUAAAUGCUUGGAGUUCAAGUUAACCACUCGAUUCUAGGAUUCAUUUGGUGUGUUUCAUUGAGAAACAGUUAAAUAAAUUCCACAAAAUGUAUUAAAUGCCCUUAGACAGCAAUUCACUGCCUUAAUCCUAUGAUCUGCCGUUGCUAUAGUUACAGAAAUAAAACAAAGUAACAAUAAAGAAAUGUGAUAAACAGCAUAGCAUACCCAGGCCACAAGAAACAUGUUUAGUCUCUUGUCCCAUACUCCUCUACCCCUCUUCUCUGAGAUAAUGAUAGUACCAACAUGAAUAGCAUGAAAAGGAACCAUUGCUGAGCAUUACUGGAGGUCAUUGUACACCAGUCACUCUCUAAGUGUUUUAAAUAGCACUCAGUAAAAUGACCUUCAUAAAAUUCUUAUGGACUAUCUGUAGGUUCAUUUUGUAAAUGAGAAAACCAAGACUCAGGGAACAGUGAAUCAAAUCACCAAAGAUCACAAUCUGCCUCACAGUAUCCUGAUGCUGAAAGUGCCUGUGAGACACUCAGCAUGUGUGGCCCCUAGUGUGUCUGUAGCAGACUAAUGAAACUUUAUUUGGAAAGAGGGCUUCAUCCACUGAAACUUAUUUGGAAAGAGUGCCUUGACAGAUACGAUUACAUCAAGUAUCUUGAUAUGAGGAAAUUACCCUGGGGGUAAAUUCAUGAGGACCCCAAAAGCCAUUUCAUGCACCUUAGUAAAAUGCAGGCAGUGGUACGCCAAAAUGAUACAUUGUGCAGAAGCAGCAACAUCAUUAUCCUGUCACAGGACAGCCAACUGGUGACGCUAUCCUUACCCAAGCCAGUUCUGUUUCUAAGUAGAAAAAAAUAAUAAUUCAUUUUUAAAAAUGAAAAUAGGAUUAAGUCAUCAGAACCUGUUUUCUUGUAGCUACAUCAUGUGGCCAUCAUUAACAAUGAUACAACAAGCCCAAGAGUUCAGAGGCAAGGGAAUUUCUAGCUGUCAAUAAAAAUUUGGAGGAUAGCAUAAUUAACAGAGUUCAUUAUGUCUACUUUGUUCAUACUGCUUAAGUAAAGACUCCUCAAACUGAGGACUACUGGCUUUUUUUAAUGGGGAUUUUAUGUUCUUGAAUGUCUGCUGCUGUCUCUGUCAAGAGCACCCUAUCAUAUCAAAGUAGGACAAUCAACUAUGUGUUGCAGCAGUGUCAAAUGUCCCCUGAGACACAAAAUGGCACCAGUAACUUUUAGAGAAAGCAUUGGUAUUAACCAGUACACCUAACUUACAGAAAUGAGAUAUGUUGUUUUGUUUUGUUUUGUCUUGUUUUAAAUCAGAUCUCUGAGACAUUAAUGUUACUUUAGAUAAAUUAAUAAAUUCAUAGCACAAGCCAACAAGGGCCUCCUUCGCCAAUGAAGACAUGGCUCUCUUAAAGACUACGUUUAUUUUUAAUCAGUCAAGUGUUAUGGUUGACCUCUAGGCCAAAAGACAACUCAUGUAUAUUCUGUAUCUUUUUAACAGUUUUUCCCCUAGGUUUCUGGGAGUUAGGUUUUAAAGCCAACCCUGGAUUUACAUGGAUUACACUGAUACCCAGGACAGAUGUGUAUCCACACUAAGUUCUAUUCAUAUAUGUAUCUAGAGCACAUACAGAGAAGCUGUCCCUCCAUUAGACAUGAGCAGUAUCAUUCAUUUAAGUGGCUGACAGAUACAUUUUUAAUUUCCUGGAUCAUUUAGGAAUAGACGCAGGGAGAAAAAAAGACAGAAAGGAAGACCAACUGAAAUAGUUUCCCCAUUUCACCUUUCAAAAUGGGGGUUCUGAUGCUUUUAUAGCAGAUAGAACUAUAUCUAUCUGGCCUCACAGUGGUCAUAAGACAUCAGCUUGAAGAGAAUCAAGGGCAUGUGGGGCAGAGCUGAAGCCCUUUAUUUAAGAGAAAAAUAAUAGGCAUACAAAGUCUUUGAAACCAUCAGUAGAAUAAAUGUCUGAGUAGUGGGAAAAUGAUACAGUAUCUAGGCUAGGCAGCUGGUUCAUGGCAGGAGUGCUGGCUUCACAAGCAUGCGGUUUUGAAUUCAGAUUCCAGCACUUAUGCAAAAGGUCAGGUGUGACCACGUAUCUGUAAACAGGUAUAAGGCGUUAGGCAGUUACAGCCAGAUCUCCAGGGUUAGCUGGCUAUGUAUUUUAGAGCUCUAAGUUCAUUGAGAGACCCUGUCUCAAAUAAAUAAAAAAGAUAGAUAGAUAGAUAGAUAGAUA